Molecule: ribosomal RNA, 415 nt
Filed under: uncultured bacterium
Lineage: Bacteria
Description: bacterial SSU rRNA
Rfam family: Bacterial small subunit ribosomal RNA
Source: RNAcentral
AUUGAACGCUGGCGGCAUGCUUUACACAUGCAAGUCGAGCGGCAGCGCGGGGGCAACCCUGGCGGCGAGCGGCGAACGGGUGAGGAAACCAUCGGAACGUGCCCGAGAGUGGGGGGAUAACGCCGCGAAAGCGGCGCUAAUACCGCAUAUUCUCUGAGGAGGAAAGUGGGGGGACCGCAAGGCCUCACGCUCCCGGAGCGGCCGAUGUCGGAUUAGCUAGUUGGUGGGGUAAAGCUUACCAAGGCGACGAUCCGUAGCUGGUCUGAGAGGAUGAUCAGCCACACUGGGACUGAGACACGGCCCAGACUCCUACGGGAGGCAGCAGUGGGGAAUUUGGACAAUGGGGGCAACCCUGAUCCAGCCAUGCCGCGUGCGGGAAGAAGGCCUGGUGUAACGACUUAGUCGGAGAAAGGAC